AUAAAAUAUUCAGUUUUUAUGAAAUGCCCAUAUUUUCCAAAGCACUCAAAAUAUAGUGCUACAUAUCUUAGAGGUUUUUGGCAAAGAUGACUCUGGUCAUUCUGUGUGUACCCAGAACUUCUCAUCACUUGAAUGAUCUUGUACAUUUAAUACAACUUGUUCAUGUGAAGAUUAGAUUUUCUUUUUUUAGCCUUUGAAAUGUUCUUCAUAGGAGAAAUUUCAAACACACAACAGAGCGGCAAACUCUGCAUACACAUUGUCUGCUCACAAAUCAUGUGUGUAGAGACACUCACUUCUCCACCCCAGCCACAGUGCCUCCCACGAUGGUAUUAUUUUAAAGGAUGUCCUAGGUAUAUCACUUUAUUUGUAGAUUCUUUUGCCUAUGUAUCUCUGAAAACUGUGCCUAGGGAGUAUAGCUCAGUGGUUAGCACCCAUAAGCCUUGGUUUGGGGUUCCCCUGCUCCAUAAGAGGAGAAAGAAAGAAAAAAAGGAAGGAAGGAAGGAACAAAGAAGGAAGAAAAGAAAGACAGAAAGACUGAGAAUCCUACUCAUUGUCUUGUAUAUUGUACUUAUUUUUAGAAUUUCUAUUUAGCUAUUUAUUUGUUUUAAGACAGAAUCUCCUGUAGCCUUGAACUCCUGGUCCUUCCGCCUCUACCACCGUGUGUUGAGAUUAGUGGUGUAAACCACCCGUCAUACUGGGCAUUUCUCUGUCAGUUUCUCUGUUCAGAUUUCCCAGUCAUGCUCUUGUAACAAUUGUUACAUUUUAUUUUAUGAGACAGGGUCUUGUGUAGGGCGGGCUUGAAUUCCUGGUCCUUCUGCCAUUUCCAAGCAUGUGCUGCCACACCCAGUAAACAUAACAACUUUUUAAAAAAAGAUUUAUUUUUUAUUUAUGUGCAUGCAUGUAAUCCAUCUUGAGUUUACGUGCACCACAUAUGUGCAGGUACCUGAGGAGGCCAGAGGGAGUCAUAUCCCCUGGAACUGAAAUUAUAGGCAGUUGUGAGCCAUAAGAUACAGGUUAUGAGAAUCCAACUGGCCAGAUCCUCUGGAAGAGCAGUAAGUGCUUUUAACCACGGAACCAUCUCUCUAGCCCCGUAACGGCUAUUUUAAACACUUGAAAUCAGAGUUUCCCCACAGUCUGUCUUAUUUGAUGAUGGUGGUGAUGAUGGUGGUGAUAAUUGAUUGGCUACACUUUCCUGCUUCACAGCUCAUGUAACAUAAUUAUAUAUGUAACACAAUGACUGGUAUCUUUUGGAGAUUAUGUUGAUUUUUUUUCUUUAAAAUAUGUUGAGUAUUAGGCAGGUAGUUUGGUUCUCCCACACUUGGUGUUAUCUUUGUUAGAACAGAUUUUUUUUUGGGGGGGUGCCUUUAUUUUUAGGGGAAAUACCAGAGGUCUUACUCCAAUGUAGAACUCAGUAAAGGUCAGAUAGUAUCUUAGACUUUUGUGAGCAAUAUUCUCUGUUACAAUUACACAACUCUGCCAAGUACAAGUGAACAUAGCUGUGUUCUAAUAAAACUUCAUUUACAAAGACUAGCAGCCAGCUAGAUGGGAUUUGUCCUCUCUUGCUCUGUUAACAGGCAUGAUUCUUAACUCCUAAGCCUAGACUUUCUGGGAUCUCAGUUGCAUGCUGUCGGGGAGGCUUGGUGAGGUUCGCUCAGGGAAGUGUGUUGGCUCUGGACGUGAACUGGAGCUCCUACUUGUACCAGCCCUGCAAACCCUGGAAUCAGUUCAGCUUGCAGCCUGCAGCAGCUUAGCCUGAUAGAUUCUGUGGAGUGUUGUGUUCUUUUCCAGCUGCUUGCAGAUCAAACCUCUGUUCUCUGACUUAGCCAAGCAGUCAGCUGGUGCACGGGCUCACUUUCCAAUGCCACAUCUGGGGAGGUUUUACGGAGCAGAAAUCUGGGAGGUGAUUAAAUUUGUUUUCUCUUAAAGGCUCACUGUCCUCUGCAUUGCCUGGUUGCUAUGCUGUGUGAUAGAAGAGGGUUGUUAGGAUCUGAGAGCUCAUGCAUUGUAGACAAAUAGAGAACUAUAACUCACUGUGAUUUAUUUGACUUACUUAUGCCUUCACAGCCUUGUUCAUCAUCAAAGGAAGUCUGGGCAGAAAUGCAAACAGGGCAGGACCUGGAGACAGGAGCUGAUGCAGAGGCCGUGGUGGGGUGGUGUUUACUGGUUUGCUCCCUGUGGCUUGCUCGGCCUUCUUUCUUAUAGAACCCAGGACUACUGACUGGCCCAGCGGUGCCCCACCCACAAUGGGCUGGGACCUCCCCCAUCAGUCACUAAUUAAGAAAUGCCUUACAAGAUUGGCUUUAGCUUGAUAAUAUGGAGAUAUUUUUUUCAACUGAGGUUCCCCUGUCUCAAAAGGUGGUAGCACAUGUCAGGGUUACAUAAAACUAGCCAGUACAGUCACUUCCAUCACAAGUCACGUUGCUUUGUAUCACCCUCAUUUCUUCUUUCUCUUUCAGUGUUUACUUUGUAUAGAAAUCCGUUUAAGAAAUCUUGUUGCACCAAGCGGUGGUGGCACAGGCCUUUAAUCCUAGCUCUUGGGAGGCAGGGAGAUGGACUACAUAGUGAGUUCUAGGCUAGCCUGGGGUUACAGAAUGAGACAUUGUCUCAAAAACAAUAUUCUGAGUCGGGUGAAUCUCUGUGAGUUCCAAGCCAGUCUGGUCUAGAAAGUGAGUUCUAGGACAGCCAGGCUGUUACUGUAGUGGAGUAUUCAGCAGAGAAGACUGCUCGGGCAUGGGUUUAAGCCAAUAGAAAGUGUUUAUUAGCCCUCUAGCAAGUACACUGGGUGUUUGGGAAACCAGUGUAGCACUGAGCCUUUCUCAGGGUGAGCUUUUAACCACAAAAACCAUGUUCUGGGUUGACAUAAUUCAGUUAAAAAGAACAGUUAGCCAGAAGCAGAAUUACAGAAGCUAGAAAGCAAGGUUAGUACGUUUAUAGACUUUCCUGGAACUAUGGACUCUGCUGGAUCAGGCCUCUGUUGUAGUUUUGGCUGGUGGUGCUGUCUAUGUGCUGAAUUUUACAGCCUGAAUGGAGCUUCCAUCCUAUAGUCAGUUGUGCUGAGAUCUGGGGCACUGUCACAUUACACAGAGAAACCUGUCCAAAACAACACAAUGAUAAAAACAAUAAUAAAAAAAAAAACACACACACCCAGAAAACAAGCUAUGUUCCCUCUCUCUCCUACGGUUACCACCCAGCUUUAACCAGUGCCGUGCUUUCCUUGGAUUAAUGCUUGGUACUGGUGUCUCUGUCUCCAUCCCUGCCUUCUGUAUUUCAUUGUGAACAUAGCAGCCUGGCGGAUCUUAUAAAAUGUAAAUCAGAUCAUGUCGUUCUCUUUUGCUUAAAGCCCUCAGAGUGAAGGUCAGAUGCUUGUAUGGCCUCGAAGGCCCUGCACACAGCACCCUGCAUACAGCACCCUGCCCUUCUUGGUUCCUCGGAAAGCUGAUUGUGUGGUGCCCGUCCCCUGCAGAAUGUAAGAGCGACGGGACUUGAGUUCCCUUUGUUCUCUGACGUGUGUCAAGCGCCCAGAAUAAUGUCUGAUAUGUAAGAUUCAGUGAAGAUUUCUUUUUGAAUGAAUGAAUGGAAAGUGGCUGGUUAAUGGUGCUACAAUAAAGUUAUUAAUAGUGAAUCAAAGAAUGUGUUGAGAUGCAGAGGCAAGAGCUAUUAGAAAUAAAAAGGAAAAAUAGAUAAAAACCACAGUCACACUGGAGGCUUAGAAGGUGACAAGGAGAUACAAUAAAGUUAUUGAAGUUCAGAGUGUGUAAUUAGUAAGUUUGAUUCAGUAAUUAAAUUUGAUGCUUUGGAUUUAAGAUAUCUUUAUUUUUAUUUUUAUAAAUAUGCAUAAAGCAACAACC
This 3848-nucleotide long non-coding RNA is filed under the name Mus musculus (house mouse). RNAcentral's name for it is "long non-coding RNA chr2:71454459-71458307". Lineage: Eukaryota; Metazoa; Chordata; Mammalia; Rodentia; Muridae. The record is from RNAcentral.